This 497-nucleotide ribosomal RNA is filed under the name uncultured bacterium. Its description in RNAcentral is "partial 16S ribosomal RNA". It matches the Rfam family "Bacterial small subunit ribosomal RNA", at positions 28 to 507 of the family's 1533-position model. The record is from RNAcentral.
GAUGAACGCUGGCGGCGUGCCUAAUACAUGCAAGUCGAGCGAACAGACGAGGAGCUUGCUCCUCUGACGUUAGCGGCGGACGGGUGAUUAACACGUGGAUAACCUACCUAUAAGACUGGGAUAACUUCGGGAAACCGGAGCUAAUACCGGAUAAUAUAUUGAACCGCAUGGUUCAAUAGUGAAAGACGGUUUUGCUGUCACUUAUAGAUGGAUCAGCGCCGCAUUAGCUAGUUGGUAAGGUAACGGCUUACCAAGGCGACGAUGCGUAGCCGACCUGAGAGCGUGAUCGGCCACACUGGAACUGAGACACGGUCCAGACUCCUACGGGAGGCAGCAGUAGGGAAUCUUCCGCAAUGGGCGAAAGCCUGACGGAGCAACGCCGCGUGAGUGAUGAAGGUCUUCGGAUCGUAAAACUCUGUUAUUAGGGAAGAACAAAUGUGUAAGUAACUAUGCACGUCUUGACGGUACCUAAUCAGAAAGCCACGGCUAACUACGUG